CCUACGGGAGGCAGCAGUGAGGAAUAUUGGUCAAUGGACGAGAGUCUGAACCAGCCAAGUAGCGUGAAGGAUGACUGCCCUAUGGGUUGUAAACUUCUUUUAUAAGGGAAUAAAGCGCGGCACGUGUGCCUUUUUGCAUGUACCUUAUGAAUAAGGAUCGGCUAACUCCGUGCCAGCAGCCGCGGUAAUACGGAGGAUCCGAGCGUUAUCCGGAUUUAUUGGGUUUAAAGGGAGCGUAGACGGGUGCUUAAGUCAGUUGUGAAAGUUUGCGGCUCAACCGUAAAAUUGCAAUUGAUACUGGCUGUCUUGAGUGCAGCAGAGGUAGGCGGAAUUCGUGGUGUAGCGGUGAAAUGCUUAGAUAUCACGAAGAACCCCGAUUGCGAAGGCAGCUUACUAAACUGUGACUGACGCUGAUGCUCGAAAGUGUGGGUAUCAAACAGGAUUAGAUACCCCGGUAGUC
RNAcentral lists this ribosomal RNA (460 nucleotides) under uncultured bacterium. RNAcentral describes it as "partial 16S ribosomal RNA". It matches the Rfam family "Bacterial small subunit ribosomal RNA", at positions 338 to 795 of the family's 1533-position model. The record is from RNAcentral.